UCGAGCGAACAGACGAGGAGCUUGCUCCUCUGACGUUAGCGGCGGACGGGUGAGUAACACGUGGAUAACCUACCUAUAAGACUGGGAUAACUUCGGGAAACCGGAGCUAAUACCGGAUAAUAUAUUGAACCGCAUGGUUCAAUAGUGAAAGACGGUUUUGCUGUCACUUAUAGAUGGAUCCGCGCCGCAUUAGCUAGUUGGUAAGGUAACGGCUUACCAAGGCAACGAUGCGUAGCCGACCUGAGAGGGUGAUCGGCCACACUGGAACUGAGACACGGUCCAGACUCCUACGGGAGGCAGCAGUAGGGAAUCUUCCGCAAUGGGCGAAAGCCUGACGGAGCAACGCCGCGUGAGUGAUGAAGGUCUUCGGAUCGUAAAACUCUGUUAUUAGGGAAGAACAAAUGUGUAAGUAACUAUGCACGUCUUGACGGUACCUAAUCAGAAAGCCACGGCUAACUACGUGCCAGCAGCCGCGGUAAUACGUAGGUGGCAAGCGUUAUCCGGAAUUAUUGGGCGUAAAGCGCGCGUAGGCGGUUUUUUAAGUCUGAUGUGAAAGCCCACGGCUCAACCGUGGAGGGUCAUUGGAAACUGGAAAACUUGAGUGCAGAAGAGGAAAGUGGAAUUCCAUGUGUAGCGGUGAAAUGCGCAGAGAUAUGGAGGAACACCAGUGGCGAAGGCGACUUUCUGGUCUGUAACUGACGCUGAUGUGCGAAAGCGUGGGGAUCAAACAGGAUUAGAUACCCUGGUAGUCCACGCCGUAAACGAUGAGUGCUAAGUGUUAGGGGGUUUCCGCCCCUUAGUGCUGCAGCUAACGCAUUAAGCACUCCGCCUGGGGAGUACGACCGCAAGGUUGAAACUCAAAGGAAUUGACGGGGACCCGCACAAGCGGUGGAGCAUGUGGUUUAAUUCGAAGCAACGCGAAGAACCUUACCAAAUCUUGACAUCCUCUGACCCCUCUAGAGAUAGAGUUUUCCCCUUUCGGGGGACAGAGUGACAGGUGGUGCAUGGUUGUCGUCAGCUCGUGUCGUGAGAUGUUGGGUUAAGUCCCCGCACGAGC
Molecule: ribosomal RNA, 1057 nt
Filed under: Staphylococcus sp.
Lineage: Bacteria; Bacillati; Bacillota; Bacilli; Caryophanales; Staphylococcaceae
Description: bacterial SSU rRNA
Rfam family: Bacterial small subunit ribosomal RNA
Source: RNAcentral